AAGUCGAACGAACUCUGGUAUUGAUUGGUGCUUGCAUCAUGAUUUACAUUUGAGUGAGUGGCGAACUGGUGAGUAACACGUGGGAAACCUGCCCAGAAGCGGGGGAUAACACCUGGAAACAGAUGCUAAUACCGCAUAACAACUUGGACCGCAUGGUCCGAGCUUGAAAGAUGGCUUCGGCUAUCACUUUUGGAUGGUCCCGCGGCGUAUUAGCUAGAUGGUGGGGUAACGGCUCACCAUGGCAAUGAUACGUAGCCGACCUGAGAGGGUAAUCGGCCACAUUGGGACUGAGACACGGCCCAAACUCCUACGGGAGGCAGCAGUAGGGAAUCUUCCACAAUGGACGAAAGUCUGAUGGAGCAACGCCGCGUGAGUGAAGAAGGGUUUCGGCUCGUAAAACUCUGUUGUUAAAGAAGAACAUAUCUGAGAGUAACUGUUCAGGUAUUGACGGUAUUUAACCAGAAAGCCACGGCUAACUACGUGCCAGCAGCCGCGGUAAUACGUAGGUGGCAAGCGUUGUCCGGAUUUAUUGGGCGUAAAGCGAGCGCAGGCGGUUUUUUAAGUCUGAUGUGAAAGCCUUCGGCUCAACCGAAGAAGUGCAUCGGAAACUGGGAAACUUGAGUGCAGAAGAGGACAGUGGAACUCCAUGUGUAGCGGUGAAAUGCGUAGAUAUAUGGAAGAACACCAGUGGCGAAGGCGGCUGUCUGGUCUGUAACUGACGCUGAGGCUCGAAAGUAUGGGUAGCAAACAGGAUUAGAUACCCUGGUAGUCCAUACCGUAAACGAUGAAUGCUAAGUGUUGGAGGGUUUCCGCCCUUCAGUGCUGCAGCUAUAGCAUUAAGCAUUCCGCCUGGGGAGUACGGCCGCAAGGCUGAAACUCAAAGGAAUUGACGGGGGCCCGCACAAGCGGUGGAGCAUGUGGUUUAAUUCGAAGCUACGCGAAGAACCUUACCAGGUCUUGACAUACUAUGCAAAUCUAAGAGAUUAGACGUUCCCUUCGGGGACAUGGAUACAGGUGGUGCAUGGUUGUCGUCAGCUCGUGUCGUGAGAUGUUGGGUUAAGUCCCGCAACGAGCGCAACCCUUAUUCUCAGUUGCCAGCAUUAAGUUGGGCACUCUGGUGAGACUGCCGGUGACAAACCGGAGGAAGGUGGGGACGACGUCAAAUCAUCAUGCCCCUUAUGACCUGGGCUACACACGUGCUACAAUGGAUGGUACAACGAGUUGCGAACUCGCGAGAGUAA
Molecule: ribosomal RNA, 1241 nt
Filed under: Lactiplantibacillus plantarum
Lineage: Bacteria; Bacillati; Bacillota; Bacilli; Lactobacillales; Lactobacillaceae
Description: bacterial SSU rRNA
Rfam family: Bacterial small subunit ribosomal RNA
Source: RNAcentral